RNAcentral lists this long non-coding RNA (1700 nucleotides) under Mus caroli (Ryukyu mouse). RNAcentral describes it as "predicted gene 11217 (MGP_CAROLIEiJ_G0005862.1)". Lineage: Eukaryota; Metazoa; Chordata; Mammalia; Rodentia; Muridae. The record is from RNAcentral.
ACACAUCAUUCCAUACAAGACCAUAGAAAACUCCAAUGAAACAACUUCUGGAGAUGACCUCACGUAUAACUCAUAGGAUGGAGUGAUGAAGAUAUGCUUGCCUGCACACAAGAAGGAGUACAUUCAGCAUCUUGAAGAGCAUCACCAGCAAUAUGAAGAUUUAGUAAAGAAACCGACAUCCAACAGACAGGAAGAAUUCAAAUCCUGAAUUUGAUAUUUUCAGUGGAUGAUCUUGUACCAAAAGUUUGUACAGAGCACUUUGUGUACAUGAGUAUGGAUUGGGCACCUCCCUAAGAAAUAGUGCAGUUGAAUCUGUCCAGCCAAGGAAACUACAACUCACUGACAACAUUAGACACAUUGCCUGUUAGAGAGGACCAGGGUAAAGACGCAUCAGAGGUAGUUCACCUUCUUUUGUUCUCUCUGUGGAAAAGUCACUAGCCAAGACCUCAUACAUAUCAGAGAGUCAAGCAUCAGCUUCUCACAGGGGGCUCAAUAGCUGGACAAUUUAUUUUCCUUCUCUCUUAAAAAGAUCUUUCUUUUUAACUAAUCUUUUAUUUUCUGAUUUGAAAGAAAAGGGUGCUGAAUAAUCCCUAAUAAGAAUAACUAUAGCGUAAGGAUUCUGAGCGUAAAGAAUUGGAGAGCACAGGAAAGAGAUGGCCAACAAAGAGAGAUACGUAUUUAAUUAUGUGUAAAAAAAGAAAGAAAGAUGAGACACAAUCAAACCAACACAAACCGAGCAUAAGGCAUGAACAGAUUUGUCUGAGUUAGGCAAAGAACACUCAAGUUCACGGAGUAGACUGACCAGGAGGGAGUGUUGGCAUGAAUACCACUCUGCUGCUGUAGCUAGAGAACUGCUAUUAAGAUCUCUACACUUUGAUAAGGGACAAAGAGAAACCAAGUAGUUACAGCUACUUGAGUUAGAGUCACAGAGGACCGAAUUGAAAUCACCUUAACACACACCCAUGAACGUUUCUAAAACCCAUUAGUUCAAGUGUUUUUUUUUUAAUUUCUGAAAAGAGUAUCAUCUGUACCAUAUCAUCUUGAUAAAUAUCAUAAAACAUAUUGCGACACAAUGUGGUAUUUCCUAAAAUGUUCAGUCCACAGUAAAAUUCCAACUUUAUUAGUAACCAUUUGUAGGAGGCAUGUAGGUAUAGAUUUAUCGUAAGAAGUAACUUAUGAUUCACCAGGAGAAGAAAAUUACAAGGGACUGCAUUUUAACCUGCAAGCAAAUAGAGAAAACGAUGAAUGUCUCAACAGAUGAAUAAACUCAGGUAGUCAAAUUCAGAGGUACCCAUUCUCAAGUCUCACCAAGUUCACAAUCAUGGAAAAUGCUGCUCCAUAAUUAGUCCACGGGCUUGGGAAAGCCAAUGUGUAUAGAGCUUUCUGGGCAUGCAUGAGGAUUCCAGGCAGAUCCUAAGGACCCACAUCGUAGCUAUGAAUGGCAGUAUGUGUGGACCUGAAACUGGUGGGAUAGAAAUAUGUGCAUCUCACAGUCUACCCUGCCUAAACAAGGUGAGCUCCAGAUUCAGUGGCACACUCUCUAAAAAGUUAAGAUGGAAAACCUCAGGUUUACACACAUACACACAUACACACACACACACACACAAGGGGGGGGAGCAAAGCUACUUAAUUAGUCUAUUUGAUACAAGUAUGUAAUAUGAUAAUAAAAAUAAACAAAAAAUAAAAUGGAAAAUUAUUUU